AGGUGGUCAGGUAGAGAAUACCAAGGCGCUUGAGAGAACUCGGGUGAAGGAACUAGGCAAAAUGGUGCCGUAACUUCGGGAGAAGGCACGCUGAUAUGUAGGUGAAGCGACUUGCUCGUGGAGCUGAAAUCAGUCGAAGAUACCAGCUGGCUGCAACUGUUUAUUAAAAACACAGCACUGUGCAAACACGAAAGUGGACGUAUACGGUGUGACGCCUGCCCGGUGCCGGAAGGUUAAUUGAUGGGGUCAGCGCAAGCGAAGCUCUUGAUCGAAGCC
RNAcentral lists this ribosomal RNA (276 nucleotides) under Escherichia coli. Its description in RNAcentral is "partial 23S ribosomal RNA". It matches the Rfam family "Bacterial large subunit ribosomal RNA", at positions 1661 to 1919 of the family's 2925-position model. Lineage: Bacteria; Pseudomonadati; Pseudomonadota; Gammaproteobacteria; Enterobacterales; Enterobacteriaceae. The record is from RNAcentral.